GGAAGGGCAGGUCACUGCUUGGGUGGGGCUGAGUAUCAGUCAGCAUGUGGUGAGCAAUUGUACUGUGCAUCACUUGUAUUUCUUGGGGUUUAAUCC
Strigops habroptila (Kakapo) is the source of this 96-nucleotide long non-coding RNA. RefSeq lists it as uncharacterized. NCBI's taxonomy places the organism in Eukaryota, Metazoa, Chordata, Aves, Psittaciformes, Psittacidae. The transcript has 3 exons. The record is from RefSeq and is a predicted model, not a curated record.